GAUGAACGCUAGCGGCAGGCUUAACACAUGCAAGUCGAGGGGUAUUGGUUUUCGGACCAAGAGACCGGCGCACGGGUGCGUAACGCGUAUGCAAUCUACCUUUUGCAGAGGGAUAGCCCCAGAGAAAUUUGGAUUAAUACCUCAUAGUAUAGUACUUUGGCAUCAAGGAACUAUUAAAGUCACAACGGCAAAGAUGAGCAUGCGUCCCAUUAGCUAGUUGGUAAGGUAACGGCUUACCAAGGCUACGAUGGGUAGGGGUUCUGAGAGGGAGAUCCCCCACACUGGUACUGAGACACGGACCAGACUCCUACGGGAGGCAGCAGUGAGGAAUAUUGGACAAUGGGCGCAAGCCUGAUCCAGCCAUGCCGCGUGCAGGAUGACGGUCCUAUGGAUUGUAAACUGCUUUUGUACAGGAAGAAACCCUUUCACGUGUGGAAGAUUGACGGUACUGUAAGAAUAAGGAUCGGCUAACUCCGUGCCAGCAGCCGC
RNAcentral lists this ribosomal RNA (489 nucleotides) under uncultured bacterium. RNAcentral describes it as "bacterial SSU rRNA". It matches the Rfam family "Bacterial small subunit ribosomal RNA", at positions 28 to 518 of the family's 1533-position model. The record is from RNAcentral.